Non-coding RNA from Cinara cedri, 232 nucleotides. The record is from the annotation of a GenBank genome assembly. NCBI's taxonomy places the organism in Eukaryota, Metazoa, Arthropoda, Insecta, Hemiptera, Aphididae.
ACAGACAACGCACGUGCGCAUGGAAAAUAAUGUUAAAAAUAAUCACGAUAAGUUUGUACGCGUACGAAAUUGUAAACCAAAUGUGUAGUUAACCGUUGUAAGAUUCACGUAAAUGGGAUUGCGGGGACAUAGCGCCCGCGGGUCUUCGACGUGUCAAUAAUUUCAGCACCCCCCACCCUCAGGAUUGGCGGUCCGAUUGCGCCUGUUACGCCCAUAGGUGUAUUUUUUUUUU